AUGGCUCCCCACCCACCGGUCCUCCUGCUACUGCUCCUCGCGCCGCUCCUCCUCUGCUCGCUGCUCCCCGAUGCGGCGCGGGCGGCCGGCGCCGAGGACACCGGGGUGACCAUCGUGCGCAAGGACGGCACGACCUGCACGCUCUGCGCCUCCUGCGGGAACCCCUGCAACCCCAACCCGGGAUACAACUACCCGUCGCCACCUCCUCCGGCUCCGGUGACCCCCGCGGCGCCGGUGUACCCGCCUCCCACUUCCUACCCAGCUCCCUCCGGUGGAGGAGGCGGUGGCGGUGGCUACUUCUACCCUCCGCCCACCGGCGGGUACGGAGGAGGAGGCGGCGGCGGCGGGUCGCAAGGAGGACAAGGAGGAGGAGGUGGAGGCGGUGCGUACCCGACGCCCCCGCCGCCCAACCCGUUCCUACCCUACUUCCCCUUCUACUACUACAGCCCGCCACCCCAGCUCAAGGGCUCGGCGCCGGCCGUCUCGUCGUCCGCCGCGGCGACGCUACUGCUGCUCGGGCUCUCCGGGCUGCUGCUGUGGUGA
This 543-nucleotide ribosomal RNA is filed under the name Triticum aestivum (bread wheat). RNAcentral describes it as "partial small subunit ribosomal RNA". The record is from RNAcentral. Lineage: Eukaryota; Viridiplantae; Streptophyta; Magnoliopsida; Poales; Poaceae.